CCUACGGGUGGCAGCAGUGGGGAAUAUUGGACAAUGGGCGAAAGCCUGAUCCAGCCAUGCCGCGUGUGUGAAGAAGGCCUUCGGGUUGUAAAGCACUUUCAGUGGAGAAGAAAGCCUUUGGGCUAAUACCCUCGAGGAAGGACAUCACCCACAGAAGAAGCACCGGCUAACUCCGUGCCAGCAGCCGCGGUAAUACGGAGGGUGCGAGCGUUAAUCGGAAUUACUGGGCGUAAAGCGCGCGUAGGCGGUCUGAUAAGCCGGUUGUGAAAGCCCCGGGCUCAACCUGGGAACGGCAUCCGGAACUGUCAGGCUAGAGUGCAGGAGAGGAAGGUAGAAUUCCCGGUGUAGCGGUGAAAUGCGUAGAGAUCGGGAGGAAUACCAGUGGCGAAGGCGGCCUUCUGGACUGACACUGACGCUGAGGUGCGAAAGCGUGGGUAGCAAACAGGAUUAGAUACCCGUGUAGUC
Molecule: ribosomal RNA, 465 nt
Filed under: Vreelandella stevensii
Lineage: Bacteria; Pseudomonadati; Pseudomonadota; Gammaproteobacteria; Oceanospirillales; Halomonadaceae
Description: partial 16S ribosomal RNA
Rfam family: Bacterial small subunit ribosomal RNA
Source: RNAcentral